GGCAACAGAGCAAGUCGUCGAUCUACUAAGCGAGCUGGACACACACAGUUUACUGUGGAAACAACAGCAUGCAUCUCGAUUGAUGUAUGGCCAGUCGACGGGAAUAUGGAGCCAUGAGUCUGUCCAUAUGAAUUGCAAACAACAUGGAUCUAGGAUAUGGUGGUAAUGGUGACCCAGCAGAGUAGCUGCCACUACUGGAGAACUCUCUAUCGGUUCGGAACAUUAGUAUCGGUUAACAAUAGCCUCGGUACUAAUUAUUAGUAUCGGGUCUUUAAAUUUGAUUGUCCCAGGAGACCCUUUUGUACCGG
RNAcentral lists this long non-coding RNA (308 nucleotides) under Setaria viridis. Its description in RNAcentral is "long non-coding RNA (SVIR_LNC009678)". Lineage: Eukaryota; Viridiplantae; Streptophyta; Magnoliopsida; Poales; Poaceae. The record is from RNAcentral.